UGCCGUUAUGAAAGAGGCAUGAGGCUGCUCAUUCACUCCUUUCACCAAGUGAGGUUACAGUGAAAAAACUGCUCUCUCUGCGUGGGUCCUCCCCAGACACUGGAUCUCUCACCAUCUUGAUGUUGGACUUCACAGCUCCCAGAACUAUCUUUCCUGAGCACACGGAAGAUCAAGACCACACUCACUGACUUCUCAUAGUCAAGCAAUUUUGGCCAAUUAAAUGUCAGUUGGAAACACCUGUGUCAGCUUCUCUGUGGCAGUGAGAAGUCCCUGUGUGACAUCCCAACUCUCCCCGCUCCUGCGUUGGCAACCAAGAAAGCCUUGUGUUGGAGGUGGGGCCACAAGUUUAAAGAUCCACUUCUUUAUUACCUUUUUGAAGAACAGGAACCUUUGUCUGGAAAUUCCACAAGUAUGCCUUCUGCAAGAUUAAAAGUGCCACAAAGAACAAAAAUGAGCCCAGGACCAGAUGUAUGUUAGAAGCCAUCAGACAUGUUAAGUUUCAUCUCCAUUGACCUGGUGGUAAUGAAGUGGCAGCAGGCAUUUUGGGGAUCUGGCUAAGAGAAGAUGAGUUGUGGAUGCAUUUUGGGCCAGAAGUUGUAUUGCAGUAUGCACACAUCCUUUGAUGCCUGGCACAGAAAAUUGUGAGUAGCAAACAAGAUCUGAUGUUUUUGGAACCAAAAGUUAAUAUGGGGAAAAGUCUUCCAAUCAGCCAACAUGAACAAUGCAAUCAUGUCCCAGGUAGUAGGAAGGAGAAAAGGGGAGG
This is a long non-coding RNA of Symphalangus syndactylus (siamang), 763 nucleotides long. RefSeq lists it as uncharacterized. Lineage: Eukaryota; Metazoa; Chordata; Mammalia; Primates; Hylobatidae. The record is from RefSeq and is a predicted model, not a curated record.